Non-coding RNA from Babjeviella inositovora NRRL Y-12698, 83 nucleotides. Lineage: Eukaryota; Fungi; Ascomycota; Pichiomycetes; Serinales. The record is from the annotation of a RefSeq genome assembly.
UCCUGGCUAGUUCAAUCAAUAGAGUGUGUGACUCUUAGCAGUACACAAUCACAAGGUUGUGGGUUAGACCCCCGCGUCGGGUU